RNAcentral lists this ribosomal RNA (407 nucleotides) under uncultured bacterium. Its description in RNAcentral is "partial 16S ribosomal RNA". It matches the Rfam family "Bacterial small subunit ribosomal RNA", at positions 30 to 526 of the family's 1533-position model. The record is from RNAcentral.
AUUGAACGCUGGCGGCAGGCCUAACACAUGCAAGUCGAACGGAGUGGCGGACGGGUGAGUAAUGUCUGGGAAUCUGCCUGGUAGUGGGGGAUAACGUCCGGAAACGGGCGCUAAUACCGCAUACUAUCAGAUGAGCCUAGGUCGGAUUAGCUAGUUGGUGGGGUAACGGCCUACCAAGGCGACGCUCCGUAACUGGUCUGAGAGGAUGAUCAGUCACACUGGAACUGAGACACGGUCCAGACUCCUACGGGAGGCAGCAGUGGGGAAUAUUGGACAAUGGGCGAAAGCCUGAUGAAGCCAUGCCGCGUGUGUGAAGAAGGUCUGCGGAUUGUAAAGCACUUUAAGUUGGGAGGCGUUACCAGCAGAAGAAGCACCGGCUAACUCCGUGCCAGCAGCCGCGGUAAUUC